GAUGAACGCUGGCGGCGUGCCUAAUACAUGCAAGUCGAGCGAACAGACGAGGAGCUUGCUCCUCUGACGUUAGCGGCGGACGGGUGAGUCACACGUGGAUAACCUACCUAUAAGACUGGGAUAACUUCGGGAAACCGGAGCUAAUACCGGAUAAUAUAUUGCACCGCAUGGUUCAAUAGUGAAAGACGGUUUUGCUGUCACUUAUAGAUGGAUCCGCGCCGCAUUAGCUAGUUGGUAAGGUAACGGCUUACCAAGGCAACGAUGCGUAGCCGACCUGAGAGGGUGGUCGGCCACACUGGAGCUGAGACACGGACCAGGCUCCUACGGGAGGCAGCAGUAGGGUAUGUGCCGCAAUGGGCGAGAGCUUGACGGAGCAACGCCGCGUGAGUGAUGAAAGUCUUCGGAUCGUAAAAAUCUGUUAUUAGGGGAGAACAAAUGUGGAAGUAACUGUACACGUCGUGACGGUAACUAGUCAGAAAGCCACGGCUAACUACGUG
RNAcentral lists this ribosomal RNA (497 nucleotides) under uncultured bacterium. RNAcentral describes it as "partial 16S ribosomal RNA". It matches the Rfam family "Bacterial small subunit ribosomal RNA", at positions 28 to 507 of the family's 1533-position model. The record is from RNAcentral.